AGGUCCUGUUUGCCCAAUAUGAGGCCACCCCAGUACAGUAAAGAUUUCUCAGUUGUUGUGGUGGGAAAAAUAGGAGGAGGAAGGAGUACAGGGUGGCAUAUUACUCUUUCUUCCAUGAUUGUCCCUUCAACAACAACAGCAGGUGCAGCAUCUUCAUGGUCAUGUGAUCAAAAUUUGGACGUUUAGCAACUGACUUGUAUGUCCCGGGGUCGUGUGAUCAUCUUUUAUGACCUUCUGACAAGCAAAGUUGAUAGGGAAGCCAGAUUCACUUUACAACUGUGGUACAAACUUAAUGACAGCGGUGAUUUACUUAACAAGAAAGGUCAUAAAAUGAGAAACAAAUGGAGCAAAUGAUAAUCUGGAAAAGAAGAGAAUGUUUUAGUGUUGCCUAGAACAUUCUAUCCCUGGAAUGAAGAAUUUUGCACAUCCCUAAUGCUGAUCCAUCUUUGGGAUGGCCUGAGCAGCUAAAUCCAGUUCACCCUAGCAAAAUAAAGUUCAAAAUGAAUCAUAAUUUAAGAAUAUUGUGUUCUUCUGUCAGUUAGAACAUAGUAAACCUAUGGCAUUAAUGUAUUAAAAAUCAGCAUCAUCUUGUACAG
This is a long non-coding RNA of Pantherophis guttatus, 596 nucleotides long. RefSeq lists it as uncharacterized. The record is from RefSeq and is a predicted model, not a curated record. Lineage: Eukaryota; Metazoa; Chordata; Lepidosauria; Squamata; Colubridae.